Hemicordylus capensis (graceful crag lizard) is the source of this 457-nucleotide long non-coding RNA. RefSeq lists it as uncharacterized. NCBI's taxonomy places the organism in Eukaryota, Metazoa, Chordata, Lepidosauria, Squamata, Cordylidae. The transcript has 3 exons. The record is from RefSeq and is a predicted model, not a curated record.
AUUUGUACAGUCAUCCUUUGCACUCAAUGGCCAGAACAUGGAACUUGUUGCCAGAACUUGUUGAACUCAAUGGCCAGAACAUGGAAUGACAGAACAUGGCCAGAACAUGGAACAUGGGACUUCUUAGUGAGCAGUUGGGUUGAAUCCUGCCUUCCCGAUGUUCUUUGUAUCUCCACCAACAAAAAGUACAGAAGAUUCCAAAGCCACACCAGUUCCAUUGCCAGUUCUGCAGUUACACCGGUGCCAGCAACUGCAUAAUAAGGUACCAGGCACAACCAGUUUUGGUCAUCUUCCAAAACCUGAUCCAGUGUUUCCACCUUUCUGACAGAGGCUUGUGCAUCCUUGUCAGUUGCUUUGCAUUCAGAAGUUCAACUGGUACAGCUCCUUCCAGUGUAAGGAUAAUGUGUGUCUCUGAGGGGGAGCUGCAUCCAUUGAUUUUCUGCUUGACAUGUCGCUA